This 6121-nucleotide long non-coding RNA is filed under the name Populus trichocarpa (black cottonwood). RNAcentral's name for it is "long non-coding RNA (PTRI_LNC004564)". The record is from RNAcentral. Lineage: Eukaryota; Viridiplantae; Streptophyta; Magnoliopsida; Malpighiales; Salicaceae.
AUUUUUUUUUUGUUUUCAUGGUUUAAUCGGUUUAUCGGUUUUUUUUAUCACCCCUAUAAGGUGAAACUGGGGGUUGAGACACCCUUUUGAGUCUUGGAUGGAUGAUGGGAUGGCAAUGAUGAGUAGAUGAAUAUAUAUGCGUAACGAUAAAGAUUUGAAAGAGAAGGUUCCAAGAGAUGCCCAUUAAUCAAAAAUUUUGGUACAUCCAGAUAGUACUAAAAUGUAAAAGGACCUAAAGGAAUUCUAUUGUUGGCCCAGCAAAGUUGGCAACUUUCGAGACUUUGCUGAAGCAACUCUGAUGUAAAUAUCAUUGGAGAUUGCUUGAACAUGGUAGAGGAGAUACACACCUUUUGUUUGGACUCAUUUUUGCUCAAUUUAGAGGUCUGUAGCUUUACAUUCAUUAGUUUAAAGAUGCCUAUUUGAUCAGCCUAGAAUUUGAAAAUGCAAGAAAAGCUAAUCGGGGAUAAGAUGUUGGAACUUUUAUGGAAGCAUUGGGGUGUAAACGUUCAAUUUCAUGGGCACAGGAUUAUAAAGGGGAUGUUUCUCAGUUGAAUAGUGGUGGUUACUUGUUACCCAUUUUUAGGUCCCCGCACAAAAAGGAGAAAAUACAAAUAGAGAAUAUAUAUAUAUAUAUAUAUAUAUAUAUAUAUAUAUAUAUGGCCAAAUUUUGGUUAAGGAGGUUCAAAUACAAAGAUUGAAAUUUGACAAUAUAUCGUUGACCAAUGAGAACCCUGUUAACAAGGAAAAUUCAAUUCGAGGAAGAAAAGUUCAAAAUCAGAUGUUUAUGAACUCAAUUAAAUUUUAAUGAAGGUUUAAUUGAAUUCAUAGAGGGUUGGAUUGCAAGAAAAAUUGUUUUUUAAGUCAAUUUAGGCUUUAAUUGGAGGAAAUUAAAGUUUUGGGGUCAAAUUACAAUUUUUAAGAGUUGAUUUUGUCAAAUCAGGGAUUUAAUUACAUAAAUAUUGAAGUUUAAAGGCCAAUUAAGGACUUGAUUGAUGAAAUCCAAAACUAAGAACCAAACUGGAAAAGAUGCGUAAAUAGAGGAACUGAAAUUGAUCGAAUAAGGGGCCAAAUUGAAGAAAUUUGAAGUUUAUUGAUCAAUGGAGGGUCAAAUUACAUAAAUUCAAAACUAGGGACCAAAGGGAAAAAGGCGUUGAAAUCUGGGGUUUGAAUUGAAGUUUGUUAGGGGUGAAAUUGAACAAAAUUGAAAGUUUUAUGCCAAUCAGGGGUGUAAUUAGAAAGAAAUCACAAAUCAAAGGACUAAAGUGUAAGUUUCCAAAACGGCGCCAUUUUGAAGAUGACUAUUGACUUUCUUCUUCAGAGAGGUCGCCCGAGGGGCCUCCUUCCUAAGGCGUUUAACGCCUCAUUUCUCCCCCAAAUUAUAUGAAGCUUGCACGCAAACAAUCACCUGACCCCUGAUUACACGCCAGUGUAAACCAUUCGACUUGAUCAAGGCUGCAGUAGCGGUGGCACUGCCCUAAAGUGGCCAACCCGAUCAACCAUGUUUCUACACAAAACUGACAGUUCAUCAUUGUUACUUUGAACCGAUGGCUGUGAUGUUUUAGGGUCGAACCAAAGGUCAAGAUUUGACACCACAAGAGACAAAGUGUCCCCCUUUCGCCCCUUAUAAAUAGAUUUGAUUUUCAUGGUCGGAGGAGAGAGAGAAAAAAAGGAAAAAGAAAAGGAGAAUUUUCUUUAGAAAGAGGACGAUUUGAAAAGGAGAGGAAAAACAGAGAAGUGUUAAGAGAGAGAAAACUUGGAGAGAAAGUUUGGGGGAAUGAAAAACAGGGGAGAUUAGAAAAAACAAAAAGGUUUUAGAGAGAGACGAGAGACUUAAAAGAGAGAGAGCUACGGAGAGAAAGAAAAACAUAUAGAAAAGAACAUAAUGAAAGGAAUAGUAAAAAAACAAAAAAGAAAGAAAAGUAAAACAGAGAAAGAACGAAAGAAGAAGAGGAAACAGAGGAAGAACAACCCGCAGCGACAAUCGUUCUUCCUCUCUGUUCGAAGUCACCGCCACUCCACAACCAGCAGCACCGCUAACGAUAGUAGCGCCAUCAUCAGGUCAACCCCUCUCCACCUUCGUUUUCUUUUUCUUCUUCGACCCCACCCCCCUACCGUCCCUUUUUAUUCAUCGUUUGCGGCGACGCGCUGCAUGCAGCAUGACAACUCGUUCUGCACGCAGCACAAAUAAUUAGCUUUUGUUUUGGGCCAUGUCUAGGCCCAAUUUAGUUGGGUCGAAUAUCGGCCCAACCCCUUUUUUGGUCAAGUAUCGGCCCAGUUUAUGUGGUUCGAGUAUCGGCCCAACUCCUGUUUUGGGCCGAGUCUCGGCCCAUUGUGUUUGGGUCAAGUCUCAGCCCUGUGUCUGCUUUAGGUCGUGUCUCGGCCCAAUUUAAUUGGGUCGAGUAUCGGCCUAGCUCCUGCUUUGGGCCGAGUCUCUGCCCAAUGUUUGUUUGGGGAUCGGUCGGGACCCACUUUUUCAAUGGGUCCGGGCCAGCCCAACUUGCGUUUAGGCGCGUCGAGACCCAAUUCCUUUAAGGUCCGCGACCCAACUUCGUUUGGGGGCCGGUCAAGACCCAGUCUCUCAUGGGUCCAGACUCGGCCCAUCUCCUUUUUGGCCCAGUCUCUGCCCUGAACUUGGGCUCAGGCAAGAUGGACUCAGCCCACAGGAUUGGGCUGAGCUUAAACCCAGUAAAUUGUUAUAUAAUAUUACAUUAUAUAAUUUUAUUAUCAAAAAAUUCAAAAAAAAAUCCUUUCAAAAAUUUGUGAUUUUUCUGUGUAUUUUUUAUUAAUAUCGGUUUGUGUUUUUAUACUGUAAAGAUACAAAUCUGGUAUUAAAAUAGUCGGUUUUCUCUGAAAUAUUGCAAAAAGUUUAAAACAAAAAAAUGUGUUUUUAUUUUCAUGCAUUACGGUCAAGUUUCUCAAAACUUAUAAAAAACUUUAAUACAACAAAAUUUCAAAAAAUAUGUGUUAGCAUGCAUUUUGUCUUAAUAACCAGUUUAUUAAAGUCAUUAGAACUAAGUCAAUAUUUCACAUGAUAUUUAAUCUAUACUCGUAUUUCAUCUUAUAAGCGUAUUUAGUUCGUGCCAUUAUUUCAUUUAAUAAUAACCUUAAUUCAUACCACAUCUCAUCCUCUCAAUUACAAUUUUAUGUUCUUUGAGCUUCCUUAAGCAUUUAUUUCAUUUUAACCAAUUAAUUGUGUUUGUUCAUCUCAACAUCCAUUAUAUCAUUAUUGGCUCAUUAAUAUCAAUUUUGAUUCCAACAUGCAUUACAUUCAUUAUUACUUAUCAGUACAAAUUUAAAAUUACUUAUCCAUACAAAUAUGCAUCUAAUAUGUUUCUAACUUAUACAUAUAUUUCUUCAAUUCUCACGUACUUUAAGCCUAUUUGGCUCUUCUAAUAUAUUUCUCAUCUCGACUAUUUAUUAGGAGAUUUUAAUGUUUCUUUUCAACUUAAAUAUUUCUCAAGUUCAUUUAUGUCACAUAAUAAUAUUUUUUUCAAACUAAUUUAUGAUAAUUACAGUAAAAUUAAUUAGUUUUUAAUGUUUAAACUAAUAAUUUUGUUUAGAGUUUUUUCAUAGCAAAAAACAUAGCAUUUAUAUUGCAAGAAUCUUCUCAUAAACACAACUCGUAGUGUGGUACAAUUCGCUAUUUAGUUAUAUACUUUAACAUAAAAAUAAUAUUUAAGCACUUCUAACGUGUUUUUUUUUAUAAAACAAAUUAUAAUUCUAAACUCAAAAUAUGAUGCAUAUUUAACUAUAUCUUUUUAAAAUAUUGAUACUUUGACAUAUUAGAUGAUAUUUUAAAAAAAUAUUGAGACGACGACAUAUUUAAUCAAUCAACGUUAACCUGUCAAAUCUACAAACUAAGUAAUAAGAUUGUGAUAACCCGAAAGAAAGCAUAUCAAAAUAAAUUAUGAAAAUCAAUUCCUAAUCAGCCCAAUAUUGAAAGAUAAAAUUAAAAAAAAACAAAACAAAAAUUUUAUCCGAGUCAACCCGGGUUAACAUGUCAAAUGCAAGACUCGGGUCAUGAGAUCAGGAUAACUCCAUAGAAAAAAUAUCAAAAGAAAAAUUACAAACUCCAAUUUUCAACCAACUCAAUAUUGAAGGAUUAAAUUGAAAAAAAAAGGAUAAAAAAAAUAAUUUAAGCCAACCUGGACCAACCUGUUAAAAUCAAUGUCAUAAGAUUGAGAUAACUUUAUUAAAAAAAAAUUAUGAAGCUACAUUUGCUAAUAGAUCUAAUGUUGAAAGUUAAAAUCGAGAAGAAAAAAAAACUAAAUCCAUGAGACCUAUAUAACUCCAAAGAAAGAAAAUUAAAAAAAAAAAUAUUAUGAAACUCAAUUCUCAAACAACCUAUUAUUGAAUGAUGAAUUUUUUUUUUAAAAAAAUUGGGUUGUUAGAGGGUGAAAUUGAAAAAAAAAACCAAUAAAAAAUUACCUCAAAAAAAGAAUCGAGUCAACCCGAAUCAACCUGCCAAACUCGCGAUCUAGUUCAUAAUACCAAGAUAACCUUGUAUAAAAAAAAUAUAAAAAAAUGUGAAGCCUAAUUAAACAAAAUAUUCAUUAAAAAACAGACCAAAAAAAUAUAAAACCCCACUUCUAACAAAUCUAACGUUGAAAGUUGAAAUCAAGAAGAAAAAAAAUAAAUACAUGAAACUGGUAUAUAACCAAACAAAAGAAUAAAAUAAAAAUUUAAAGCACAAUUUCCAAACAUAGCCUAAUAUUUAAAUAUAAAAUUGAAGAAAUUAAGAAAGAAAACACAAAACAGCAUUCCCAUUGUUUUGUUAAUUAAUAGUUAAUAAGGGUAGAUAAAACUCUAAUAUAUAAAUUUCACUACCUUCAUACUAUAAACAUCUAUCUCCUUAUGUUAAUUUUUAAUCCCUUUCUGCUUUUUGGCACUAAACAACAUCAAUAAUUAUUCUUGUGAACUUCAACCCAAAACAAUCAUUCUAGCCAAAAUUUUAUCCCUUACCAAACAUUUACCGUUGUAACAUCCUUGAAAUAGCCCUGCUUUUUUUCUUCUUUUUUCUUUUUUAUCAAGUUGGGGAGAAGAAAAUCUUCUGUUUCAAAUAGACUGCUUCAACUUUUAUGUAAGAUCACCGAUCCCAGUUGUACAAAUAUAAAGAGUGAUGAAUGAACAGAAAUCAUCCUUUUCUUUAACUGUUUGCAGAUCUAAGCACCUCAUAAUGACAUAUUUGUAGCAAUUUCUCUAUUGUCAGAGUAAUUUUAAACACAACCAUUCUCCUGAUCCGAAGCAGUAAGGGUUUUUAAAUCAAUUACUAACGGAACUGUUAAAGAUAAAUAAACAAAAUAAUUAAAAAGUGGGUAAUUAAACAAAAUGAUCAUAGAGGUGGUGGAAGAACAAACAAAGCCAAGAAAAGAAAUGAAACCUCCUUGGUUUCAUGUUCCAUAGCAGCUAAAUCUCUACGCGCCGUCACUUUCCACCACCGGCGUCGCGUUCAAAUCCAAAACACCGUUUUCCUCCUCCUCCUCCACCACAGCCGCCACCUCUUCAGCCCCGGAACUCUGGAUCAUAUUCUCCUCCUCGUUAUUUCCACCACCAUCAAUCACUUCCACCACUUUAGCCUCAACUGCAGCCCGCCACCCUUCUCCACUACCCUUUCCAAAGUACUUCGCGGCUUCCUGCAUCCUCCUUAGUAUUGCAAAGAACUCCUCCACCUCCUCCUCAGUCGCCACCGUCACCACCUCGUCCUCAGUCGCCACCGUCACCACCUCCUCCUUUCCCUCCUGUCCCCUCACCUUCUUUUUCCUUCCUUGCUCGCUUUCUUUGUCUCCCCUCCUUCUUUUCUCUUUUCCUCUGUCCAUCUCUCCUUCAGGAACCUUGGAACUUUUAUGCAGACCUUGUAACAUUAUAGAAAGCUCAACCACAGGAUACAAAACUUGUAAAAUAAUAGCGGUGGAGGUAGAUACAUACUUGGAACUGUUUACAUGACAAAACCAUAUGAAUGUAUAUAAUGUGAAUUUAAAAUAUAGUAUGUUUUAAGGAAAUAAUAUAUUUAUAUUCAACUAAUAGUAACCAAGAGAAUAAUUAAAUAAUAAAGUUGAAGACAAUUUCAUUCACAUAAAUCCCGUCCAUUUUAAUAAUUUUCCAAGGUCGUUGAAGACUUGUG